Long non-coding RNA from Leptinotarsa decemlineata (Colorado potato beetle), 1086 nucleotides. NCBI's taxonomy places the organism in Eukaryota, Metazoa, Arthropoda, Insecta, Coleoptera, Chrysomelidae. The record is from RefSeq and is a predicted model, not a curated record.
CCUUCAAUCUUUCAAUUCCACAAACGAUAAUCCCAAAUCCAUUGCAGCUGAUUUGUCGCGCAAGCGCGUCAAUCAGUUUGAAAAUCAGCAUGGAAGAUGUGUGUUGGGUGGUAAUUUUCAACAACAAAACCUAUUUUUUUCUAAACCACUGUUUACCUCCAGCAGCACAGUGAUUGUUACGAGAGAAGUGAACCUCGCUCAAUGCAAUGUUUUCCGAAAAUGUCCUCGUUCAGACAUGAAGCUCAUAAUGGGUCCCGAAACCACGUCGUCCAUUCAAGUCUUCUGCAAUCCAACGAAGUCCUUAAAAAAAAUAACAUACCUUUAAUCAUAGUUAUAUAUACAAAAGAGCAUUAUAAUAUUAUCCAAUUGUUGAAUCUCUGUUAAUUGUUAUUCGAGCAUUUGAAACUUUAAUUGUCACUUCAUAACCCGCCUGUUUACCUAACAGCAAAAGAUGAAUGAAAUCUAAGCGCCGCUCAACUGUUUUGUUAGUACAAGAGAAAGAAUAAAGAAUGCUCUUAGACGACCUUACUUAUGCGGAGGGGUCAAUGCCCAAUGCACACUAGAUUCUGAUGUCUAAGUCUGCUUCAUGUCAGUAUGGUCCCAGUUGCCUUAGAGAUUUCUUCUUCUUCGUGACGUAGAUAACGCGCGCGAUUGUUUUUUUUUGUGUUCGCGAAAAUCGCGGUUGUGAUCUGAACUUCCAUCCAGGAGUAGCGUUAGUUUUGUUGUUGUGUCUUUGUUUUUCGUUCGUUUGGCGUGACAUGGAAGUGACUUAGAGGAGCGAAAAUAAUGGGGGAGGAGAAUCAGAGGAGGCUGAGCCAGGUUUUCGAUCCGCUCGCGAGGCUCGGGGAGUUGACGAGGUCAUCGCAGUCGACACCCUCGUCGCCCAGACUCUUGCCCCGCAGAAUCCGCGACGCGAGUUCGGUGUUGCCACCUCCUCUGGCCGCUUUCGAUGUUGUCGACGCGGGUGGACAUGGCAGCGGAAGUGGUAGUGCUGCUUCAGUCAACUGGCAGGAGAGGUGUUUGGAACUGCAGCUGGAAUUGCAUCGGAGCAGGGCGCAGGCGACCAGGACUAGGGAUAUGCUACGA